Molecule: non-coding RNA, 384 nt
Organism: Pogona vitticeps (central bearded dragon)
Lineage: Eukaryota; Metazoa; Chordata; Lepidosauria; Squamata; Agamidae
Source: the annotation of a RefSeq genome assembly
GUGUCUAAUCUAGAGACCAAUUCACCAAUCGUUAUGUCACCCUUCUUGCUGAUCCUCGUUGCCUUGGCUGCCUUUUCUUCAUGUGCCUUCACACAGGUGGUCCUCACCCAGUCAGAACCUGCAGUGAAGAAUCCUGGACAGUCUCACAAGCUAAGUUGUAGAGCUACUGGGUUUGACGUCAACGGCUACUGGAUGGAAUGGGUCCGGCAGAAACCUGGCCAAGGCUUGGAAUGGCUAGCUCACUAUCUUAACCCUAGCAGCAAUUAUUAUUCAUCAGCAAUCCAAGGGCGAUUCACAGCCUCCAAGGACAGCUCCAGCUUCUACCUGCAAAUGAACAACCUGAAAGACGAAGACACGGCCGUCUAUUACUGUGCAAGGGACACA